GAUCAAGCUACAAAGAGCAAGAGGAGGAUGCCUAGGUACAUGGCGCCGAAGAAGGACGUGACAAGCUGCGAAAAGCUGCGGGGAGGAGCAAAUAUCCGUUGAUCCGCAGAUAUCCGAAUGAGGGAACUCCAUGCAGUAAUACUGCAUGAUCGUAUGAUGAAUUCAUAGUCAUACGAGGGGAACCCGGGGAACUGAAACAUCUUAGUACCCUAACUGCGGCACGAAUCAUUGUGUGAUCGUCUUUUGUCAUUUUAAACUUUUUAAGG
RNAcentral lists this ribosomal RNA (266 nucleotides) under Clostridia bacterium. RNAcentral's name for it is "partial 23S ribosomal RNA". It matches the Rfam family "Bacterial large subunit ribosomal RNA", at positions 1 to 244 of the family's 2925-position model. The record is from RNAcentral. Lineage: Bacteria; Bacillati; Bacillota; Clostridia.